CAAAGGUAGCAUAAUCAUUAGUUUUUUAAUUAAAAACUGGUAUGAAUGGUUGGACAAAAGAAACACUGUCUUUAAUAUGUAAAUUGAAAUAUACUUUUAAGUGAAAAGGCUUAAAUACUUCAAAGGGACGAUAAGACCCUAUAAAGCUUUAUAUAUUAUUUAAAUUUAAUUGAUUUGAGUAAAAUAAAAGUUAAAUUUGAUUAUUGUAUUUCGUUGGGGCGAUGAGAGUAUAAUUAAAAAUAACUGCUUAGAUAUAGUACAGAUAUAGUUGAGUUAGAUUGAUAAGAUCCUAAUUAAAGAUUAAAAGGCUAAGUUACUUUAGGGAUAACAGCGUUAUUUCUUUUGAGAGCUCAUAUCGAAAAAGAAGUUUGCGACCUCGAUGUUGAAUUAAAAUAUCUAUAUAAUGCAGCCGUUAUAAGAGAGGGUCUGUUCGACCUUUAAAUUUUUACAUGAUUUGAGUUCA
RNAcentral lists this ribosomal RNA (463 nucleotides) under Cranaothus deforgesi. RNAcentral's name for it is "partial 16S ribosomal RNA". It matches the Rfam family "Bacterial large subunit ribosomal RNA", at positions 1951 to 2613 of the family's 2925-position model. Lineage: Eukaryota; Metazoa; Arthropoda; Malacostraca; Decapoda; Xanthidae. The record is from RNAcentral.